AUCUCAUGGACUGCCCUAUGGCCGACCUAAUCGUAAAAAACACAGUGAAUCAAGGCCUGCAAAGGGAUCCAACCCUUGCUGCGGGGAUUCUGAGGUUGCAUUUCCAUGACUGCUUCGUACAGGGUUGUGAUGGAUCAGUUCUUAUUGAUUCCACAAAGGAUAACCUUGCAGAGAAGGACUCUCCUGCAAACCUUAGCCUUCGUGGGUACGAGCUCAUCGACCAAGCCAAGCAAAAUGUUGAAGAUCAAUGCCCUGGAGCUGUCUCAUGUGCUGACAUCCUUGCAAUGGCAGCAAGGGAUGUCGUCUUCUGGAGUGGAGGUCCUUAUUAUGAAAUACCCAAAGGUA
RNAcentral lists this unclassified non-coding RNA (345 nucleotides) under Hevea brasiliensis (rubber tree). Lineage: Eukaryota; Viridiplantae; Streptophyta; Magnoliopsida; Malpighiales; Euphorbiaceae. The record is from RNAcentral.